AGAAUUACUGCGGAGCAACUGGAUCUCUGACUCCAAGACGGCAAUCUUGCUUUCCAGUCUAAAGAGAUCAUUUUUUUUUAACUUGUCAGGCUUUCUCAUAGGACGUGAAUACAGUGCAGAGAAAAAAAAUCAUGCGAAUGUAAGAUUGCAGCUUUGCAAUUUCUUGGCCCUUGGCUUCUUCAAGGUCAAUCUACCAGCAAGAAAUAGUUAAUAAACUCAUUUGGGACCAAGUAACAAAUUACACGCUACAGAAACCGACAUAUGGAUCCAAGUGAAUUACCCUCAGACGCUUUUCAACAUCUAACCGCCAUAUGUGAAAUCGGACAAACCAUUCUCAGUUUCCGAAGUUCCUUUCUUGCAAUGCGUGCCCUCCACAAGCACUGAAGAAUCAACGAAGCUUUCUUUUGCUGCUUGUAAGCGACAUAAGCUUUGUGUUGGCGCCAUUGAGUCUG
Long non-coding RNA from Phragmites australis (common reed), 452 nucleotides. RefSeq lists it as uncharacterized. The record is from RefSeq and is a predicted model, not a curated record. The transcript has 3 exons. Lineage: Eukaryota; Viridiplantae; Streptophyta; Magnoliopsida; Poales; Poaceae.